AAUGCCCCACAGGGACACGCCGCGUGGCUUGUUUACUGCCAGGAGGCAGCACAAAGCCCCGCUGCCAGGGGCGGCACUGCCCUCUUGAAGCACCACCGGAUCCGCAGACAAGCCCCAGGGCCCGGAGCAGGCUGACUUCCUGUUGUAAGGUGUCCUCUGAAGCACAAAGGACCCACCCGGGCGCCUCUGCUCCAGGCAGCCACCGGACCCAUGAGAUGGCAACGGGGAGAUGCCACUGCCAAGCCCACAGGCGGAUUUGAUGAAGAAACAGGCUGCUGUUGAGCCCACACGGCAGGAAGCGUUUGUUACCCAACAGCUGCGUGGGAAGUGGUCGCUGCUGCUCAGUGACUGAUUCAGCUGAGAGCUCUGGCCACGCCCCCAGGACUGCGGGCUACCUCGACAGGUUCCCGCGCUCAGCCCUCAAGGCAGUGAGGUAUUCACAAACUGCUCAGCAAAGCCUCUGGAUGAAGCAAAUGGCAGCCCACGCUACCCCCAGGGCGUGGCCAGGCCCGGGUGCAUAUUGGGGGCCCUCCAUGGCCGAUGCAGGAGAAAGGGGGGCUCACGCGUCGAGACAGUGCACCCUCUGGAAGAACCACGUGGCGAAUCUGGGCACACAGUGACCGAGGAGAUGCAGAAAUGGGGUGUGAUGCCCAAGGAGCAGACAACCUUGGGCAGCUUCGUCUCCGCCACCCGGUCCAGCCACCCCACCCCACCCCAUGGCCGCCACAGACCAUCACAGGGGACCCAGACGACCUGGGGGAAUUCGAGGAAAGAGCAAAUGGCCAACUGUGAGCAUGGACACACUCACGACAUUGGGGGGCAGUGGAGUGACAGGGCCUGGGCUCCCAGAGCCGGGCUCCGUGACUUCAAGCAGAGGACACGACCCCCGAUGGUCAACGGUGUGAGUGCUCAAGAGCUGAGAGAAGACACACGCGCAGCGUACUCUGUUAUACUGGCAAAACUAUGAAUAGCCCCCCUCCAAUUUUUCUUUAAUUUUGACAUAAAUACUGUUUUUCACUUUUAAAAAGCCCACUCAGCAAGGGAACAGGUUGUGGAGCCCUUUAUGGGCACAGCUCCCGUACUCAGAUUAAAGCCAUUCAAAGGGGAGGUGGGAGUGGGCGCGCCGCAGGCCUCCAUGGGGCCCACAUUGCAGCCCAGCUCUCCCUCACCCAACCCUGUGACUUCCGCCACCCUUCCCUAAGAGGCGUCUUGUACCCUACGUCCCGCCUCAGCAACUGCUUCUGGAGAAGGGGAGCAUCAGCCACAGGGCCCCCACAGACUGUUCCGAGUGGGAGUUUUAUUAAAAUCCAGGUCUGCCUGGGUCUAGAAGGCCUGGGCACUGGAGGUCAGGUGCACUGCUGAGUGCAGGCCAGGCAGCGAUGGGUGGCUGGGAAAGCCUCACGCCCUGCAGCUGAGACGGAGCCCCUGCUGAGGUCCCCCCACCAGGCCUGCCAACUGCUCUACCUGCUCUGCUCCAUGAACACCAACCAAGUCACGUGAGCACACCAGCCGGUCCCCA
Long non-coding RNA from Aethalodelphis obliquidens (Pacific white-sided dolphin), 1519 nucleotides. RefSeq lists it as uncharacterized. The record is from RefSeq and is a predicted model, not a curated record. NCBI's taxonomy places the organism in Eukaryota, Metazoa, Chordata, Mammalia, Artiodactyla, Delphinidae. The transcript is spliced from 3 exons.